ACCUCAUCUUUAGCUAGGGUUGGGUAUUAUUUAUUGAAAUUGAUAGCUUGUGAGGAGGGUGACGGGCGGUAUGUACGUGCCCCAGGGCCGUCUUUAAGUAGGCUUAAGAGAAGUAUGGUCUUACUUUACUGCUAAAUCCUCCCUCCAAGGGCGAGUCUCAUGCCCUUUUUCGUCUGUUCUAUGUUAGAAAAUGUAGCCCAUUUCUUCCACCUCAUGGGCUAUACCUUGACCUGUCUUGUUAGUGGGGACUAUUGAGCUCACUAUUGAUCUUUCAUUUUAGGUGGGCUGGCGACG
This 294-nucleotide ribosomal RNA is filed under the name Homarus americanus (American lobster). Its description in RNAcentral is "12S ribosomal RNA". Lineage: Eukaryota; Metazoa; Arthropoda; Malacostraca; Decapoda; Nephropidae. The record is from RNAcentral.